CCUACGGGUGACAGCAGUGGGGAAUAUUGCGCAAUGGGCGAAAGCCUGACGCAGCGACGCCGCGUGAGGGAUGAAGGUCUUCGGAUCGUAAACCUCUGUCAGCAGGGAAGAACGGUCACUGUGCUAAUCAGCAGUGAAUUGACGGUACCUGCAAAGGAAGCACCGGCUAACUCCGUGCCAGCAGCCGCGGUAAUACCGGGGGUGCGAACGUUAAUCGGAAUUACGGGGCGUAAAGCGCUCGUAGGCGGUAUGUCAAGUCAAGGGGUAAAUCCCCGCGCUCAACGUGGGAACUGCAUUUGAAACGGGCAAACUGGAGUGUGUGAGAGGAUAGUGGAAUUCCAGGGGUAGGAGUGAAAUCCGUAGAGAUCUGGAGGAACAUCAGUGGCGAAGGCGACUAUCUGGCACAUAACUGACGCUGAGGAGCGAAAGCGUGGGUAGCAAACAGGAUUAGAUACCCUAGUAGUC
Molecule: ribosomal RNA, 465 nt
Filed under: uncultured bacterium
Lineage: Bacteria
Description: partial 16S ribosomal RNA
Rfam family: Bacterial small subunit ribosomal RNA
Source: RNAcentral